This 404-nucleotide ribosomal RNA is filed under the name uncultured bacterium. RNAcentral describes it as "bacterial SSU rRNA". It matches the Rfam family "Bacterial small subunit ribosomal RNA", at positions 30 to 416 of the family's 1533-position model. The record is from RNAcentral.
AUUGAACGCUGGCGGCGUGCCUAACACAUGCAAGUCGUGCGAGAAAGUUCCUUCGGGAGCGAGUAAAGCGGCGCACGGGUGAGUAACACGUAGGUAACCUGCCCCCCAGUCUGGAACAACUAGAGGAAACUCUAGCUAAUGCCGGAUGAGACCACGAUCCCUUCGGGGGUUGCGGCCAAAGAUGGCCUCUACUUGUAAGCUAUCGCUGAGGGAUGGGCCUGCGGGCCAUUAGCUUGUUGGUGAGGUAACGGCUCACCAAGGCUGUGAUGGCUAGCUGGUCUGAGAGGAUGACCAGCCACACUGGGACUGAGACACGGCCCAGACUCCUACGGGAGGCAGCAGUGGGGAAUAUUGCGCAAUGGGCGAAAGCCUGACGCAGCGACGCCGCGUGGGUGAUGAAGGCC